GAGUUUGAUCAUGGCUCAGAUUGAACGCUGGCGGCAUGCCUUACACAUGCAAGUCGAACGGCAGCACGGGGGCUUGCUCCUGGUGGCGAGUGGCGAACGGGUGAGUAAUGCAUCGGAACGUAUCCUGGAGUGGGGGGAUAACGUAGCGAAAGUUACGCUAAUACCGCAUAUUCUGUGAGCAGGAAAGCGGGGGACCUUCGGGCCUCGCGCUCUUGGAGUGGCCGAUGUCGGAUUAGCUAGUUGGUGAGGUAAAGGCUCACCAAGGCGACGAUCCGUAGCAGGUCUGAGAGGAUGAUCUACCACACUGGAACUGAGACACGGUCCAGACUCCUACGGGAGGCAGCAGUGGGGAAUUUUGGACAAUGGGGGCAACCCUGAUCCAGCCAUGCCGCGUGAGUGAAGAAGGCCUCGGUU
Molecule: ribosomal RNA, 414 nt
Filed under: bacterium enrichment culture clone ALO1_GLFRUDD03G3B81
Lineage: Bacteria
Description: bacterial SSU rRNA
Rfam family: Bacterial small subunit ribosomal RNA
Source: RNAcentral